RNAcentral lists this ribosomal RNA (515 nucleotides) under uncultured bacterium. Its description in RNAcentral is "bacterial SSU rRNA". It matches the Rfam family "Bacterial small subunit ribosomal RNA", at positions 1 to 475 of the family's 1533-position model. The record is from RNAcentral.
GGAUCCAGACUUUGAUCAUGGCUCAGGAUGAACGCUGGCGGCAUGCCUAAGACAUGCAAGUCGAACGAGGUGGCCCAAAGAAGAUUGAGUGCUUGCACAAGAUUGGACUUGGAUUACCACCUAGUGGCGGACGGGUGAGUAACACGUAGGUGACCUGCCUUUGAGUUUGGGAUAACUAUUAGAAAUGAUAGCUAAUACCGGAUUAAAUGCAGAUUCGUUUCUGUAUUAAAAGGAGCCUUUAAAGCUUCGCUUAAAGAUGGGCCUGCGGCGUAUUAGCUAGUUGGUGAGGUAAUGGCUUACCAAGGCGACGAUGCGUAGCCGAACUGAGAGGUUGAUCGGCCACAUUGGGACUGAGACACGGCCCAAACUCCUACGGGAGACAGCAGUUAGGAAUAUUCGUCAAUGGGGGAAACCCUGAACGAGCAAUGCCGCGUGAACGAUGAAGGCCCUAUGGGUUGUAAAGUUCUGUUGCAUGGGACGAACGGCUAGGAUAGGAAAUGAUCUUAGUGUGACGG